Molecule: non-coding RNA, 91 nt
Organism: Lasiosphaeria ovina
Lineage: Eukaryota; Fungi; Ascomycota; Sordariomycetes; Sordariales; Lasiosphaeriaceae
Source: the annotation of a GenBank genome assembly
GCGGGUAUGGCUCAGCUGGGAGAGCGUCAGACUGAAGUGACACUUUAAUCUUCCUAUCUGAAGGUCAUGUGUUCGAUCCACAUUAGCCGCA